RNAcentral lists this ribosomal RNA (374 nucleotides) under uncultured prokaryote. RNAcentral describes it as "bacterial SSU rRNA". It matches the Rfam family "Bacterial small subunit ribosomal RNA", at positions 524 to 896 of the family's 1533-position model. The record is from RNAcentral.
UACAGAGGGGGCAAGCGUUGUUCGGAAUUACUGGGCGUAAAGGGCGCGUAGGUGGCCUUCUAAGUUGAACGUGAAAUCCCUGGGCUCAACCCAGGAACUGCGUCCAAGACUGGGAGGCUUGAAUCCGGGAGAGGGAUGCGGAAUUCCAGGUGUAGCGGUGAAAUGCGUAGAUAUCUGGAGGAACACCGGUGGCGAAGGCGGCAUCCUGGACCGGUAUUGACACUGAGGCGCGAAAGCCAGGGGAGCAAACGGGAUUAGAUACCCCGGUAGUCCUGGCCCUAAACGAUGAAUGCUUGGUGUGGCGGGUAUCGAUCCCUGCCGUGCCGAAGCUAACGCAUUAAGCAUUCCGCCUGGGGAGUACGGUCGCAAGGCUG